This is a non-coding RNA of Lupinus albus (white lupine), 1326 nucleotides long. Lineage: Eukaryota; Viridiplantae; Streptophyta; Magnoliopsida; Fabales; Fabaceae. The record is from the annotation of a GenBank genome assembly.
UAAAUUUAGGGUUUUUGGUUAAAAUUGAUUUGGAAAUUUAAUUUAAAAUUAAUAUAUGGGUUUAUGUUAAAAUUGAUUUGGGGUUUAAGUUAGGGUUAACAUGAGAGACAAUCCUCACUUUUGGCCGAAAAAAAUAAAAUAAAAUGGUGGUCUCUCUUUUCCGAGCUUAGCCCAUGAAUGCAUGAACCCACCGGACACCAAUCAUUUUAUCUAUUUUUGAAAAACAAUAAAUUUAGUUUACUUUUUGUAAAAUUCAGAUUUAAUGAAAACAUUGAGCUACUUAGUUUUCGUCUAAUGGCAGAUAAAUGUUAUAAUUAGACCAUUGGAUUGAGAACAUUUUUCUCAAAUUGGUAGGAAAUAACUUUUUGAUCUUUUAGGUUAAUUAAUUUUUUUACUUUAGUAACUCGUGUUCAUUUUUGUUUGUGUUAUUAAUACUAACAUUAUUUCUCAGUAACAACUAAUUAUUAUACUUCAAUUUAUCUAACAUGUUUGCUCCAACUCAUUUUACUCAUUCUAUCUUCAAAUAUGUAUAAUAUACCUAUCUCAAAAUGUCUCAUCAAAUCAAAAUCCUUAAUAAAGCCUAUAUGAAAAUAUUUGGAGAUAAACAAUAAAAAAAUAUUAAAAAAGAACCCUAAUUAAUACAUUUAAAAACCUUAAACUAAAUAAUUAUUUUGAAAAAAUGAAAAUGCAGUAAAUUGUCAAUGAGUCGAUGUGUUAGAUAUAUCUAAAAAAUGCAAAUGUUGGGUUCCACGACUUAGAUGUGACUGAUCCAUCCUUAUAUUAUUACGUGGAUACACGCUGGUAGCACCAUUAUUAUGCUUUGUGAUAUCUUAAUUUAUGUUUAUGAUAUUCAAAAUAGAUCAACUUACUCUAAGAGUAUAAGUAGAAAAAAUCUAUUCCGCAUAUUAGUUAUUCAAUCUUAAAAAACUCAAUGGUUUAUAUGUACUUACUAAUUCAAACCAUUGAAUUUUUCAAGAAUAAAUGAUCAUAAUAUAGAGUAUGUUUUUUUCACUUACUAAAAUAUAAGAAAUGAUGCAUUAAAGGAAUCUAUGCCAGACCAGAUCACGAGUGAAGGCCCCACAUUUUAUGGACAAUUGUUGGUCCACGUCAUCAACCUUGGAAUGAUUCACUUUCUCUGUUUGGCUUCUCGCUACAGAAUCUCAAAAUUGAGUAUAGGACGGUUGUUUAGAACUUAGAUGAUGAUGAUAACAUGUCAGGAGAAAAAGUUGGAAGGCGGUGGAGAGUCCCCACUCAAGACAGACAUAUUAACCGAAACACUGCUGGAUUGUGAUUUGAUUUGGUGGCAUUAACCAAUGUGAUACUGCC